AAAAUACACACACACGAAAACAAAGCAAAAAAAAAAAAUUCUGAAAAACCUGAAAGCAUCUGAUUCGAGAAUUCCCAUCUGCUACAAUUUUGAAGAUUCAGAUUAUUUACUUCAUACUUUUCUUCUUGCUCCCUCUUGUCAUUCAUUAUUAGUGUGACUUUUU
This 163-nucleotide non-coding RNA is filed under the name Platyophrya macrostoma. The record is from RNAcentral. Lineage: Eukaryota; Ciliophora; Colpodea; Cyrtolophosidida; Platyophryidae.